UGAAUAGCAGCUCCAGAAGUUCUUCUCCAGCUAAGGUGACAGAUGAGGGCAAGGUAAGUUCUGUAGUUACUGUGAAUCAUGUGGUCGUGCAGGAACAUGUAGCUUUCCUACAGUACUUGCUCUUUGCUUUAUCCUUCUUUGUGUUCUAUUUGUACUAUCCCAUUUGUUUUUUAAAAAGCAAACUGUUCCCCAAGAACCUGAGACCCCCUCAAUUUCCACCAUUACUUCUUUGACUGAGCAUCCAGUUGGAGUAAGUACUUAGAGGUUGAGAACUGAAUUGGGUUUUAUUCUGUGCAUUUCUGGGAAGGAUAUUCAUAGCAUGACACUGAUCUUGUUUGCUUUAAAACUGCAUGCAAUAUUGAGCUUACUUUUCUCCUUAACUUGGGAAUGUUGCUUAAGUGUGUACAACUAUAAUGAACUACAGAAUGUGAAAAGUUAUCACUAUAUGUGGUGUUUUGUGUUGAAUGUUCUAAGGCAAAGUAAAUUCAUUAUAAAUUAUAUAAUUCAUCAUUUUUAUUUUUGUUUGGAAGAAUGCUAUUUAAGAAUUCCUCCAUUGUGCAAACCCUAUUUUGAGUGAUUUGAAUUAGAUUGGUAUCAGAUUUUCUGAAAGUGAAAUACUGUUUCAGUGAAACAAUGAUAAUCUGAAAUGACCUCUUGAGCCAGUCCCAAGCAAUGGUCUCAUUUGUUCACAUAAGUGCAUUCUCUUGUAACUGUGUUGCUAUUAUAUCUGGUAGGUCUUCUGCAGCUCUAUAAUAAAAUAAAUUUUUAAUUGUUUAGUUUCAAACCCACUACUCAUAGGAAAUGAUAAAUCAAUAUCUCAAAUGGUGUACAGUAAAUGAAAGUAAAUAUUAAAGCCUUGUCUUCCUUGGAAAUUUGUGUAUAUAGCACUGUGUUGGAAAAUACUUCUCAAGUUCCAGUGUAUAUAUAUUCCAGGAAUAUACAUCUCUGGAGAAAUCUAAGGGCAGCUUAGAUAAGACCCCAAACCCCUUUGUAGUAGAAGAUUUAAAAGAGAGCAAAGACCCGUUGUUAGAGAGGAGUAGAGGUGGGAAAAGCAUGGCUUGGAGGCAAACCUUGGGAUUGAGUUCCUUUAAUAUGCAGUGUGGCCUUCAACAAAUUAUGAUAUUCCAUUUGCUUUUGUUCCCUUUUAUUUAAAACAAGACAGUCUACUUAAAGAUCUCAGAGGUUGAAUAAUAUAUGAAAGACUUACUGAAGAUACUCUGAAUAGUAGCUAUUAUUACAUGGGUAGAGAAUGGAUUUUUCAUUUUAUUCUGUUCAUUCUUAAUAUGUAAGUAAUGAGCUAUUGUGAUGAAAGGGAAGUGAUGGGGAGGGGGGACUCCCUUUGAAAUAGAUUGUAGUGAAUACAGCAUGACAUACUGGUCAGAAAUCACCUCUGUAAAUAACCUCUGCCAGUCCUCUUGCCUUUCCCUUUCCUGUGCAGAUAUAAUCAGUAACAAACUGCUCCCUCUUGUGGCAUCCUUCUAACUUCUGUAAGCUGUCAGUGGGAAUACACAGGAGGGGUGGGGAGAGUUUUGUUGCACUGAUGGUGUUCUCUGGACAGGUGCUUGUUUUGGGUUUUAGCUUUUAUCGGUGUUGGUACUUUGUCUUAAUACAUAGGAAUUUUAAAACUUUUAACUGCUUUCAAAUCUUAAAUUGCAGGUUAAUAUGGCUAUGAAAGGGCCCCCUCCUUUCUCAGGGGUACCCUUCAUGGGCCCCCCGAUGGGACCCCCUAUAGGACGGCCUCCAUCACCUCCCAUUCGGCAUGGACCGCCACUUCAGCUCGAUGGGCCUUUUGGGCCUUGGCCAAUUCCUCCACCAUUUGGUAUGAUGAUCUGAACAGUAGUGAUUGACUUAUAAAUCACAUUCAUCUUUCAUUUCUAUUGCUUGCUAAAACAGUUGGUUGCUAUCUCAAUUCUUAACAAUGAAAGGAUAAAGCUGAGUACAUUUUAACUUUUCCUCCAGUUUUCUGGGACAUAUGGGACACUACAUAAUCUUAUACUGAGAUAGGCAAUAACUAUCUCUCAUAGACAAGGAUAAGGGGCUAUAUACAGAAAAGCAAGAAAUAUUACUUCUGCAGAUGUUUGUUGAAAAUCUGUUGAUAUGCACUGCAAUAGAUGGAAAGGUGGAUGAGACACAUGCCAUAACUUAAAAUUUUGUCACAGAUAUGAAAAUCCUAUAACAUAAAGUUUGUAAUCACCCAUAAUGGAAGCAUAAGCAGUAGGUUAUAGAAUAUAGAAAAGAAAAAGUCAAACCCUCCUUACCUUAAGAAAAGUCAGAGGGAAGUGUUAAAGAGGAGGAUUUAACAGUGACCUAAUAAAUGUUGCUGAUUUAAUUAGGUGGCUGUGGAAGGCCUUUUCCAGGAGGGCAUGCACCUUGAUUCUGAUGGCAUGUGUAAAGUCCAUGCUGAAAUACUUCAUGAAUUUUUAAUGGAUACAGUAAUAAAUAGUGGGAUUUCCUUUUAUCAAAAUUUAUUUGAUGUAGUAAAGUUCUUAUUUCAUAAUCUAUCAUCUUGUCAUGGUAAUAUAGUACUUCCAAAUAUAAAUGGAGCUCUUGUGAGAUAGAAAUAAUUUUGCAAUUAUAUAGUAGGGAAAGAAAAAAGACAAGCCUGGAGCUAGGUAGAGCCAUGUUUAAAUCCUUAAUAUGUUGCUUCAUGGAUGGUUGGCCAAAGGCUAUAACCUAAACUUGUUCCAUCUCAGUUUGCCUCAUCUGGCAAGUCAGGAUGUUCACCAGUUGAUGUUCUAGGCUUGGGAGAAAUUAAAGACUAUAUUAACAUACUUGAAAUCACCCUAGUUCAGAAAUUUCUGGGUAUUUACAUAACUUCCUUUUUAUUUUCCAGGUCCUGGUAUUCGUCCACCAAUAGGCUUCAGAGCAUAUGCACCAGGUGUUCCACCUGGAAAACGGGAUUUGCCUUUUGACCCUCGUGAUUUUUUUCCAGGACCCGCACCAUUUAGACCUUUAGGCUCAUUUGGCCCAAGAGAGCACUUCAUUCCUGGUGCCCCAUUACCACCUCCAACUCAUGGUCCCCAAGACUAUGGGCCACCACCUGUUGCAAAAGACUUAAUUAAGCCUUCAGGCUUUAAAGAUGAACCUCCACCUACACCUGAUUCUCAGAGUAGUGAGGGCUAUUCACAGGCCUUAAAACUGGGCCCAUAAAAUUAACCUCUGACACUUAGUCAGAAAGUGGAUUAUGAACUAUUCAUUGUGUUAAAGAAUUAUUGGCUUCAAAAUAUAAAAGUUAUUUUAAAUGGUUUAUGUUUUUAGAAUGAAGCUGCCUUGGCGCAGUACACAUUUUGAGCCAAAAUAUUUUCCCCCUAAAUAUCCCCCACUUAAGCUAGAGUAUCCUUCCAACUUUAAAACGUGCAAUAAGGAAUACCUUUGUCUUAGUUAAUGUAGCAUAUACAAUUGCUAAAUGAUUUAGAAUGUCAUAAUUAUGGACAUUUCCUGUGGAAAUGCUUUAAGAACAUGUAUUUCCAUUAUCCUAUUUUUAGUGUAUUCCAGUUGAUACAGAGAAAUGGUGUUUUAUAAGCUUGAUUUUUCUCUUCUAAUAUCUGGUCACAGAGACUGUUACGCU
RNAcentral lists this long non-coding RNA (3568 nucleotides) under Marmota monax (woodchuck). Lineage: Eukaryota; Metazoa; Chordata; Mammalia; Rodentia; Sciuridae. The record is from RNAcentral.